Molecule: long non-coding RNA, 550 nt
Filed under: Homo sapiens (human)
Lineage: Eukaryota; Metazoa; Chordata; Mammalia; Primates; Hominidae
Description: MIR1-1 host gene
Source: RNAcentral
CUGACCCGAGGGGGGCCCCCACGCCCGCUCUGGCCUCUCAGGUCAGGCCCUCCCCUCCCCUCCCCUCCCCUCCCCCGCCCCUGUGUCUCCGCGAGCCGGCUGUGUGCCUGCGAGAGCGUGCACACCCGCGGGACCUUCCCUUUUGUUCCACCCUGACCUCUACCUUCUCUACCUUGUGCUGACCCCGCUGGGGUGCAGGGGUUCCCUUCGGAGGAGGCCGGGGCUCAAGGUCAGCCCUGAAAUGUCCAUUACUCACAAAGAAAAGGAAAAUGCUCAUUUGAAAGAAAUUCUUCUCUUUGUCAAUGCUGAGGCAUUCUCUCAGCCCCAGCCCCACAGUGCUCCAGUGUGUGAAGGGCAACAGCUGACGGGGAAGUUCAGCACAUCUGUGCUGACCAGGGCUGGAGGCGAUGCCAGUCCGUGCAGCUGGGAACGCCUCCUCUGCUAUGGCUGGAGCCACUGCUGAAGGGACUCCACCUGGCACCUAUGCCACCAAUGGCCCCUGAACGGGUAUCUAGGCCCACCCUUAAUAAAGAUGAGCUGCUCAUUCCCA